AACGUAGGAGACAACCGUUAUCCGGAGUUACUGGGCGUAAAGGGCGUGUAGGUGGUAGAGUAAGUCUGGCGUGAAAUUUUUCGGCUUAACCGGGAAAGGUCGUCGGAUACUGCUUAACUAGAGGACGGUAGAGGCGUGUGGAAUUCCGGGUGUAGUGGUGAAAUGCGUAGAGAUCCGGAGGAACACCAGUGGCGAAGGCGACACGCUGGGCCGUACCUGACACUGAUGCGCGACAGCAUGGGGAGCAAACAGG
RNAcentral lists this ribosomal RNA (253 nucleotides) under uncultured bacterium. Its description in RNAcentral is "partial 16S ribosomal RNA". It matches the Rfam family "Bacterial small subunit ribosomal RNA", at positions 524 to 776 of the family's 1533-position model. The record is from RNAcentral.